Long non-coding RNA from Acanthochromis polyacanthus (spiny chromis), 9546 nucleotides. RefSeq lists it as uncharacterized. The record is from RefSeq and is a predicted model, not a curated record. Lineage: Eukaryota; Metazoa; Chordata; Actinopteri; Pomacentridae. The transcript has 4 exons.
AUGGAUGGAGAGAUGGAUGGAUGGAUGAUAUCGUGCUACUUUCUCUGUUUAUCUGUAGCUGGAGUCUCCAGUCAUACUUUGACUGUGUGGAAACACAAUGACAACAAAGAAUCUUGAUUCUUGCUGCAGAAAUACAGACUAUUAAGAUAUAAAAUGUGAUUAUUGAUACGUUGAUUUAUCCUGUGAUCACCUUUAGAUUUCCUGAGACCAACCGGCUGGAGAAGAUCAGGUUUAUUGAUUUAAAUCACAUUAAAGUCUGUCUGAAGGGAUCAAUAAUCACCGGAUCCACUGAGAGUUCAGCAGUUAAAACAGCAUCUGACUGUUAGUUUGAUCAAAUUAAUGAUUAACGACUCCGGAUUAAUCAUUUAUUGAUUAUUGAUUAAUGGAUAAACAACAGGCAGCUAAUCAAUAAUGGAAUCCGUGUCAGAUAGUAGAUGUCAGUCAGUGUCAACUGAGAUCUUUAUGGAUCGGAAUCAAAGACAAACACGAGGCAGGAAAUAGAUACAAACCUGAUGUCACAUUAUAUUAUAUAUGUCUAUAUUACAGAGAACUAUUAGAUAGAAGUAAAUAUGAAUAUAAAGUAUAUAUAUAUAUAUAUAUAUAUAUAUAUAUAUAUAUAUAUAUAUAAAUGAAUAAAUCUAGUGUAUAGUACAUCGUAUGUGGUGGUGUAGGAGUGAUGCUGCUCCGUCCUCUGGCGGCCAUCAUGUCCUGUCUGAAGGUCACUCUAUUUAUAAUGUGACUCUCUUAAAGGAGAACACACCAGUUACACACUAAACUCUACUACUGUGUGUUUCUGUGUGUGUUUCUGUUUAUUACAGUGUAUUUUUGUGUAUUGUCAAGUAUCAUUGUGUAUUAUUGUGUAUUGUUGUGUGUAUUAUUGUGUAUCAUUGUGUAUUUUUGUGUAUCAUUGUGUAUUAUUGUGUAUCAUUGUGUAUUAUUGUGUAUCAUUGUGUAUUGUUGUGAAUCAUUAUGUUUUACUGUGUAUUGUUGUGUGUAUUAUUGUGUAUCAUUGUGUAUUGUCGUGUCUAUCAUUAUGUGUGUAGUGCAGUACUAACACCAUGUGAUUAUUUGUCAUCACGUGUUGUGUAGAUUGUGUACUUCAUUGAAGUUGCAUUAAUCUUUGUGAGUCUGUCAAAACAUCAAAGCUGUAGAUGGAACAUCGAUGGAACAUUGAUGGAACACUGAUGAAACGCAGAUGAACAUAGAUGGAACAUAGAUUGAAAGCUGAUGAAUGUAGAUGUAACGUUAAUGAAACGUAGAUGAACAUAGAUGAACGUAGAUGGAACGCUGAUGAAGGUUGAUGGAACGAUGAUGAAUGUAGAGGAACGUAGAUGGAACGUUAAUGAAACAUAGAUGGAAUGUAGAUGGAACGUAGAUGAAUGUAGAUGGAACGUUGAUGAAUGUAGAUGAACGUAGUUGUAACGUUAAUGAAACGUAGAUGGAACGUUGAUGAAUGUAGAGGAAUGCAGAUGGAACGUUGAUGAAUGUAGAGGAACGUAGAUGGAACGUUGAUGAACGUAGAUGAAUGUAGAUGGAACAUUGAUGAAUGUAGAGGAACGUUGAUGAAUGUAGAUGGAAUGUUGAUGAACGUAGAUGGAAUUUUGAUGAACGUAGAUGGAACGUUAAUGAAUGUAGAUGAACGUAGUUGUAACGUUAAUGAAACAUAGAUGGAACAUUGAUGAAUGCAGAGGAACGUUGAUGAACGUAGAUGAAUGUAGAUGGAACGUUGAUGAACGUAGAUGGAACGUUGAUGAACGUAGAUGGAACGUUAAUGAAUGUAGAUGAACGUAGUUGUAACGUUAAUGAAACGUAGAUGGAACGUAGAUGAACGUUGAUGAAUGUAGAUGAACGUAGAUAAAAUGAUGAAGGUAGAUGAACGUAGAUGGAACGUUGAUGAACUUUGAUGAACGUAGAUGGAGCGCUGAUGAACGUAGAUGGAACGCUGAUGAACGUUGAUGGAACGUUGAUGAAUGUAGAGGAACGUAGAUGGAACGUUAAUGAAACAUAGAUGGAAUGUAGAUGGAACGUAGAUGAAUGUAGAUGGAACGUUGAUGAAUGUAGAUGAACGUAGUUGUAACGUUAAUGAAACGUAGAUGGAACGUUGAUGAAUGUAGAGGAAUGCAGAUGGAACGUUGAUGAAUGUAGAGGAACGUAGAUGGAACGUUGAUGAACGUAGAUGAAUGUAGAUGGAACAUUGAUGAAUGUAGAGGAACGUUGAUGAAUGUAGAUGGAAUGUUGAUGAACGUAGAUGGAAUUUUGAUGAACGUAGAUGGAACGUUAAUGAAUGUAGAUGAACGUAGUUGUAACGUUAAUGAAACAUAGAUGGAACAUUGAUGAAUGCAGAGGAACGUUGAUGAACGUAGAUGAAUGUAGAUGGAACGUUGAUGAACGUAGAUGGAACGUUGAUGAACGUAGAUGGAACGUUAAUGAAUGUAGAUGAACGUAGUUGUAACGUUAAUGAAACGUAGAUGGAACGUAGAUGAACGUUGAUGAAUGUAGAUGAACGUAGAUAAAAUGAUGAAGGUAGAUGAACGUAGAUGGAACGUUGAUGAACUUUGAUGAACGUAGAUGGAACGCUGAUGAACGUAGAUGGAAUGCUGAUGAAGGUUGAUGGAACGUUGAUGAAUGUAGAGGAAUGUAGAUGGAACGUUAAUGAAACAUAGAUGGAAUGCAGAUGGAACGUAGAUGAAUGUAGAUGGAACUUUGAUGAAUGUAGAGGAACGUAGAUGGAACGUUGAUGAACGUAGAUGAAUGUAGAUGGAACGUUGAUGAAUGUAGAGGAACGUAGAUCAACUUUGAUGAACGUAGAUGAAUGUAGAUGGAACGUUGAUGAAUGUAGAUGAACGUAGUUGUAACGUUAAUGAAACACAGAUGGAACAUUGAUGAAUGUAGAGGAACGUUGAUGAACGUAGAUGAAUGUAGAUGGAACGUUGAUGAACGUAGAUGGAGCGUAGAUGGAACGUUGAUGGAACGUUAAUGAAUGUAGAUGAACGUAGUUGUAACGUAGAUGGAACGUUAAUGAAUGUAGAUGAACGUAGUUGUAACGUUAAUGAAACAUAGAUGGAACAUUGAUGAAUGUAGAGGAACGUUGAUGAACGUAGAUGAAUGUAGAUGGAACGUUGAUGAACGUAGAUGGAACGUAGAUGGAACGUUAAUGAAUGUAGAUGAACGUAGUUGUAACGUUAAUGAAACGUAGAUGGAACGUAGAUGAACGUUGAUGAAUGUAGAUGGAACGCUGAUGAAGGUUGAUGGAACGUUGAUGAAUGUAGAGGAACGUAGAUGGAACGUUAAUGAAACAUAGAUGGAAUGUAGAUGGAACGUAGAUGAAUGUAGAUGGAACGUUGAUGAAUGUAGAUGAACGUAGAUAAAAUGAUGAAGGUAGAUGAACGUAGAUGGAAUGUUGAUGAACGUAGAUGAAUGUAGAUAGAACGCUGAUGAACGUAGAUGGAACGCUGAUGAACGUAGAUGGAACGCUGAUGAAUGUUGAUGGAACGUUGAUGAACGUAGAUGAACGUAGAUGGAACGUUGAUGAACGUAGAUUGAAAGUUGAUGAACGUAGAUGGAACGCUGAUGAACGUAGAUGGAACGCUGAUGAACGUAGAUGGAAAGUUGAUGAACAUAGAUGGAACGUUGAUGAACAUAGAUGAACGUUGAUGUACGUGGAUGGAACGUUGAUGAACGUGGAUGGAACGUUGAUGAACGUAGAUGGAACGUUGAUGAACGUAGAUGAACGUUGAUGAACAUAGAUGAACGUUGAUGAACGUGGAUGGAACGUUGAUGAACGUGGAUGGAACGUUGAUGAACGUAGAUGGAACGUUGAUGAACGUAGAUGGAACGCUGAUGAACGUAGAUGGAAAGUUGAUGAACGUAGAUGGAACGUUGAUGAACAUAGAUGAACGUUGAUGAACGUGGAUGGAACGUUGAUGAACGUGGAUGGAACGUUGAUGAACGUAGAUGGAACGUUGAUGAACGUAGAUGGAACGUUGAUGAACAUAGAUGAACGUUGAUGAACGUAGAUGGAACGUUGAUGAACGUAGAUGGAACGUUGAUGAACGUAGAUGGAACGCUGAUGAACGUAGAUGGAACGCUGAUGAACGUAGAUGGAAAGUUGAUGAACGUAGAUGGAACGUUAAUGAAACGUAGAUGGAACGUUGAUGAAUGUAGAGGAAUGUAGAUGGAACGUUGAUGAAUGUAGAGGAACGUAGAUGGAACGUUGAUGAACGUAGAUGAAUGUAGAUGGAACGUUGAUGAACGUAGAUGGAACUUUGAUGAACGUAGAUGGAACGUUAAUGAAUGUAGAUGAACGUAGUUGUAACGUUAAUGAAACAUAGAUGGAACAUUGAUGAAUGCAGAAGAACGUUGAUGAACGUAGAUGAAUGUAGAUGGAACGUUGAUGAACGUAGAUGGAACGUUGAUGAACGUAGAUGGAACGUUAAUGAAUGUCGAUGAACGUAGUUGUAACGUUAAUGAAACGUAGAUGGAACGUAGAUGAACGUUGAUGAAUGUAGAUGAACGUAGAUAAAAUGAUGACGGUAGAUGAACGUAGAUGGAACGUUGAUGAACUUUGAUGAACGUAGAUGGAACGCUGAUGAACGUAGAUGGAACACUGAUGAAGGUUGAUGGAACGUUGAUGAAUGUAGAGGAACGUAGAUGGAACGUUAAUGAAACAUAGAUGGAAUGUAGAUGGAACGUAGAUGAAUGUAGAUGGAACGCUGAUGAAUGUAGAGGAAUGUAGAUGGAACGUUGAUGAAUGUAGAGGAACGUAGAUGGAACGUUGAUGAACGUAGAUGAAUGUAGAUGGAACGUUGAUGAAUGUAGAUGAACGUAGUUGUAACGUUAAUGAAACAUAGAUGGAACAUUGAUGAAUGUAGAUGGAACGUUGAUGAACGUAGAUGGAGCGUAGAUGGAACGUUGAUGGAACGUUAAUGAAUGUAGAUGAACGUAGUUGUAACGUUAAUGAAACAUAGAUGGAACAUUGAUGAAUGCAGAAGAACGUUGAUGAACGUAGAUGAAUGUAGAUGGAACGUUGAUGAACGUAGAUGGAACGUUGAUGAACGUAGAUGGAACGUUAAUGAAUGUCGAUGAACGUAGUUGUAACGUUAAUGAAACGUAGAUGGAACGUAGAUGAACGUUGAUGAAUGUAGAUGAACGUAGAUAAAAUGAUGAAGGUAGAUGAACGUAGAUGGAACGUUGAUGAACUUUGAUGAACGUAGAUGGAACGUUGAUGAACUUUGAUGAACGUAGAUGGAACGCUGAUGAACGUAGAUGGAACGCUGAUGAAGGUUGAUGGAACGUUGAUGAAUGUAGAGGAAUGUAGAUGGAACGUUAAUGAAACAUAGAUGGAAUGUAGAUGGAACGUAGAUGAAUGUAGAUGGAACGCUGAUGAAUGUAGAGGAAUGUAGAUGGAACGUUGAUGAAUGUAGAGGAACGUAGAUGGAACGUUGAUGAACGUAGAUGAAUGUAGAUGGAACGUUGAUGAAUGUAGAGGAACGUAGAUGGAACGUUGAUGAACGUAGAUGAAUGUAGAUGGAACGUUGAUGAAUGUAGAUGAACGUAGUUGUAACGUUAAUGAAACAUAGAUGGAACAUUGAUGAAUGUAGAGGAACGUUGAUGAACGUAGAUGAAUGUAGAUGGAACGUUGAUGAACGUAGAUGGAGCGUAGAUGGAACGUUGAUGGAACGUUAAUGAAUGUAGAUGAACGUAGUUGUAACGUUAAUGAAACAUAGAUGGAACAUUGAUGAAUGUAGAGGAACGUUGAUGAACGUAGAUGAAUGUAGAUGGAACGUUGAUGAACGUAGAUGGAACGUAGAUGGAACGUUAAUGAAUGUAGAUGAACGUAGUUGUAACGUUAAUGAAACGUAGAUGGAACGUAGAUGAACGUUGAUGAAUGUAGAUGAACGUAGAUAAAAUGAUGAAGGUAGAUGGAACGUUGAUGAACGUAGAUGAACGUAGAUGGAACGUUGAUGAACGUAGAUGGAACGCUGAUGAAUGUAGAUGGAACGUUGAUGAACGUAGAUGGAACGCUGAUGAACGUAGAUGGAACGUUGAUGAACGUAGAUGGAACGCUGAUGAAUGUAGAUGGAACGUUGAUGAACGUAGAUGGAACGCUGAUGAACGUAGAUUGAAAGUUGAUGAACGUAGAUGGAACGCUGAUGAACGUAGAUGGAACGCUGAUGAACGUAGAUGGAAAGUUGAUGAACAUAGAUGGAACGUUGAUGAACGUAGAUGGAAGUUGAUGAACAUAGAUGGAACGUUGAUGAACAUAGAUGAACGUUGAUGAACGUGGAUGGAACGUUGAUGAACAUAGAUGAACGUUGAUGAACAUAGAUGAACGUUGAUGAACGUGGAUGGAACGUUGAAUGAACGUGGAUGGAACGUUGAUGAACGGAGAUGGAACAUUGAUGAACGGAGAUGGAACGUUGAUGAACGUAGAUGGAACGUUGAUGAACGUAGAUGGAACGUUGAUAAACGUAGAUGAACGUUGAUGAACGUCGAUGGAACGUUGAUGAACGUAGAUGCAACGUUGAUGAACGUAGAUGGAACAUUGAUGAACGUAGAUGGAACGUUGAUGAACGUAGAUGGAACUUUGAUGAACGUAGAUGGAACGUUGAUGAACGUAGAUGGAACGCUGAUGAACGUAGAUUGAAAGUUGAUGAACGUAGAUGGAACACUGAUGAACGUAGAUGGAAAGUUGAUGAACGUAGAUGGAACGUUGAUGAAUGUAGAUGAACGUAGAUCGAACGUAGAUGGAUGUUGAUGGAACCUCAAUCCAGUUGUGUGCCUUUGUUUAAUGUGUUAAUGAAGUUCUCAGUUAGUUUGGAGCUGACUGUCAGGAAACAUUCAGUUAAUGUUCAGUUAAUGUUUAGUUAAUGUGCAGUAAUCGUUCAGUUAAUCUUCAGUAAAUAUUCAGUUAACGUUCAGUAAAUAUUCAGUCAAUGUUAAUGUUUAGUUAACGUCCAGUCAGACUGAGGAUGUGUCCUGGUGGUUGCUGGUAUCAGUGAGUUGUUGUGAGUACAGGUUGCUGGUUUGAUUCUCUGUGAAACUGAACCAUCAGAGCUGAUGUCUGCAGUGGAAUAUAACCAGGGCUGCACAUAAGUGGUCCGCAUGCGCGCUUGCGUACUGAAUGUUGACGAAUGCGCUGGUCUUCAAAGGCUUUUGCGUACUGACGGCUCUGACGCCACCGAAAAAAAAGCAAGCUCCUUUUUUCGGUGGCUCCGGUGACGACUCUGUCGGAUUUUUUGUGAAGGGGGUGGAGGAACACGAAAAUAAUUACGGGGCCUGCCUCUUUGACAUUUUGAGAAGUGCUUUUCCUCGUGGUUAGAGCCAUCGGUACGCAAAACGGUACGUAUGAAAGCCUUUGAAGCCCAGCGCAUUCGUCAACGUUCAGUACGCAAGCGUGCAUGCGGACCACUUAUGUGCAGCCCUGAAUAUAACAGUUCAUGAAUCUGAUAGAAUAGAAUAGAAUAGAACAGAAUAGAAUAGAAUAAUUUUAUUAUCUGCCUCAAACAGAGACAGAAAUGGAAGAAAGUAGGAGUAGUGAUGAGGGUGAGAAAGUUUCUGAUCUGUAGUCCUUCAUGGUCUGUUGUCCUUCAUGGUCUGUAGUCCUUCAUGGUCUGUAGUCCUUCAUGGUCUGUAGUCCUUCACUGGUCUGUAGUCCUUCAUGGUCUGUUGUCCUUCAUGGUCUGUAGUCCUUCGCUGGUCUGUAGUCCUUCGCUGGUCCGUAGUCCUUCAUGGUCUGUAGUCCUUCAUGGUCUGUAGUCCUUCACUGGUCUGUAGUCCUUCACUGGUCUGUAGUCCUUCAUGGUCUGUAGUCCUUCAUGGUCUGUAGUCCUUCACUGGUCUGUAGUCCUUCAUGGUCUGUUGUCCUUCAUGGUCUGUAGUCCUUCGCUGGUCUGUAGUCCUUCACUGGUCCGUAGUCCUUCAUGGUCUGUGAUCCUUCAGGGUCUGUAGUCCUUCACUGGUCUGUAGUCCUUCAUGGUCUGUAGUCCUUCAUGGUCUGUAGUCCUUCAGAGUCUGUAGUUCUUCACUGGUCUGUAGUCCUUCACUGGUCUGUAAUCCUUUAGGGUCUGCAGUCCUUCAGGACCACUGGUCUGUAGUGCUUCUCUGGUCCGCAGUCCUUCAGAGUCUGUGGUCCUUCACUGGUCUGUGGUCCUUCAGGGUCUGUGGUCCUUCAGGGUCUGUGGUCCUUCACUCGUCUGUGGUUCUUCAGGGUCUGUAGUCCUUCACUUCUCUGUAGUCCUUCUCUGGUCCGCAGUCCUUCAGGGUCUGUAUUCUGUCACUGGUCUCCAUCCAUACAUUCUCUAUACACCGCUUUAUCCUCACUGGGGUCAUGGGGGGUGCUGGAGUCUAUCCCAGCUGACUCAGGUGAAGGCAGGGGACACCCUGGACAGGUCACCAGUCUGUCACAGGGCUACAUAUACAGACACACAAUCACACUCAUAUUCACACCUACGGACAAUUUAGAGUAACCAAUUAACCUCAGCAUGUUUUUGGACUGUGGGAGGAAGCCGGAGUACCCGGAGAAAACCCACGCAUGCACAGGGAGAACAUGCAAACUCCAUGCAGAAAGAUCCCAGACCCAGGCCGGGAUUUGAACCGGGAUCUUCUUGCUGCAAGGCGAAAGUGCCAACCACUAUACCACUGUGCAGCCCCUGUCACUGGUCUAUUUACGUAACUCUUUCUGAUGAUGUCACAUCUCCCAUCAUGCAGUGGUGCAGUGGAUGCUCGGCCUUGUUGACACUGAAGGACACACACACACACACGCACACACACAGUAAACUGCAGUGUGUGUUAAUCUGGAUUGAGCAGACGGACGAGGUUGGUUGAACGAUAAUCUCCACACACACACACACACACACACACACACACACACACACACACACACACACACACACACACACACACACACACACACACACACACACACACACAGAGUUGUGUUUAUCUGCAGACACACUCUGUCUACAGACCUGAACCAGCUGUGUCUACCUGUAUGACAGACAUUCAGUCAGAAUGAGGCUGAGGACAGGGAUCGACCAAUCAUUGAGGCUGUAGCAGCGUAGCCUGGUUCUAAAGUCAGACAGACUUUACCCUGUUCUACCUGAUAAACAACCCUAAUAUAACAACAAACAGGGCGGCUGAGGAUCAGGUGGUAGAGCGGGUCGUCCAAUCAUCAAAGGGUCGGCGGUUCGAUUCCCGCUCUCGCCUAGUCAUGUGCUGUUGUGUCCUUGGGAAAGACACUUAACCCACCUUGCCUCCAGUGCUCUUCACUGGUGUGUGAAUGCGUGUGAAUGUUGGUGGUGGUCAGAGGGGCUGUAGGCGCCGAUUGGCAGCCACGCUUCUGUCUGCCCCAGAGUGAGAAUGUGUGAGCGUAUGGUUGAAUGGAAGCAAUUGUUGUAUAAGCGCUUUGAGUACUCUGAUGAGUAGUAAAGCACUAUAUAAGAGCAAGUCCAUUCACACAACAAACAUCACCACAAACAUCAUCACAAACAUCACAAACAUCAACACAAAAAUCACAAACAUCAACACAAACAUCACAAACAUCAA